Molecule: unclassified non-coding RNA, 325 nt
Filed under: uncultured Solicoccozyma
Lineage: Eukaryota; Fungi; Basidiomycota; Tremellomycetes; Filobasidiales; Piskurozymaceae
Description: sequence contains ITS2
Rfam family: 5.8S ribosomal RNA (bases 1-52)
Source: RNAcentral
AACGCACCUUGCGCUCUUUGGUAUUCCGAAGAGCAUGCCUGUUUGAGUGUCAUGAAAAUAUCAACCUUGACUUUGGUUUUGUGCUCUAGUCUCGGCUUGGAAUUGGGUGCUUGCCGCUUUUACGAGCGGCUCACCUUAAAUGUAUUAGCUGGAUCUGUCUUUGAGACUUGGUUUGACUUGGCGUAAUAAGUAUUUCGCUAAGGACAUUCUUCGGAGUGGCCUCGUUUCUAGGACGCUUGUCCGCUUUCCAAUACAAGUUCCACCUCGUGGACAUGACUUUUUAUUAUCUGGCCUCAAAUCAGGUAGGACUACCCGCUGAACUUAA